GAAGCACGUUGAAACCAGAACUACAUAGCUCUGAGGAAAUCAAAGAACAUUUGUCUGGGGUUGGCCCAAAGGCCCAGUUAGAACCCAGGUAUUCCAUCCUGGGCAAGCUCUUUACAGGUGCUUCAGCUUCUGGGAGGUUAGAACAGGUACAGAGCAUCAUAGUCACUGAAACGAAUGAGCACACAUACAGUGCUCAGAACAGGGUCAGCCUGGGUGGACUGCCCACUGUGAACUGUUGCCAAAUGGAGGCUCAGCCUCCCCCAUACCAACCAACACUACAAUGAGGUAUGUGAACACAUAAACACACUGAAAAGAUCUUAACAUCUGCCUUUCCUUCCUGCAAAAUCCCCAAGAUCAUGAGGCUCAAAUCUCAUUCUAUCAAGUAUACAAAUUACACGGAUGUUACCUAAGGCCAACACAUGAAUUAAACAGUAUCUUCAAUUUCACUCACAUGCUGUUGUUGUAAGGUCCCAUCUCUAAGCUCAUUAAUUGGAGUGCUGGAUUCAGA
RNAcentral lists this long non-coding RNA (508 nucleotides) under Bos taurus (domestic cattle). RNAcentral's name for it is "long non-coding RNA NONBTAT005527". The record is from RNAcentral. Lineage: Eukaryota; Metazoa; Chordata; Mammalia; Artiodactyla; Bovidae.